This is a long non-coding RNA of Armigeres subalbatus, 276 nucleotides long. RefSeq lists it as uncharacterized. Lineage: Eukaryota; Metazoa; Arthropoda; Insecta; Diptera; Culicidae. The transcript is spliced from 3 exons. The record is from RefSeq and is a predicted model, not a curated record.
GGAAAAAAAUUGGGGAAAAAAAUCAAGGUUUGCAAGCAUGUAUCCUAAAAUGACAUUGCUGGACAACAUUCCCGAUGACCGCCGGAAAGAAGUAUGGUCCACGGAAAACGACAGCAGCAUCAACGUCUUGGACCAGGUGAUCGUGGAAGAUAACGGCAGUACAGUCAGAUGGUGGACGGAUGGACAAAUACCAAUCUGCCAACACAAACCGCAGCAAAAAACUCGGCAGAAAAUGUCGCGGCCGUUUUUCGGAAUCGUCAGCAAACAAUCCCCAGG